AGCGACGCCCGUGGGGGAUGACGGCCUUCGGGUUGUAAACUCCUUUCGCCAGGGACGAAGCGUUUUGUGACGGUACCUGGAGAAGAAGCACCGGCUAACUACGUGCCAGCAGCCGCGGUAAUACGUAGGGUGCAAGCGUUGUCCGGAAUUACUGGGCGUAAAGAGCUCGUAGGUGGUUUGUCACGUCGUCUGUGAAAUUCCACAGCUUAACUGUGGGCGUGCAGGCGAUACGGGCUGACUUGAGUACUGUAGGGGUAACUGGAAUUCCUGGUGUAGCGGUGAAAUGCGCAGAUAUCAGGAGGAACACCGAUGGCGAAGGCAGGUUACUGGGCAGUUACUGACGCUGAGGAGCGAAAGCAUGGGUAGCAAACAGGAUUAGAUACCCUGGUAGUCCAUGCCGUAAACGGUGGGCGCUAGGUGUAGGGGCCUUUUGGGGUUUCUGUGCCGUAGCUAACGCAUUAAGCGCCCCGCCUGGGGAGUACGGCCGCAAGGCUA
RNAcentral lists this ribosomal RNA (495 nucleotides) under uncultured bacterium. RNAcentral's name for it is "bacterial SSU rRNA". It matches the Rfam family "Bacterial small subunit ribosomal RNA", at positions 390 to 896 of the family's 1533-position model. The record is from RNAcentral.